Aedes aegypti (yellow fever mosquito) is the source of this 483-nucleotide long non-coding RNA. RefSeq lists it as uncharacterized. The transcript is spliced from 2 exons. The record is from RefSeq and is a predicted model, not a curated record. Lineage: Eukaryota; Metazoa; Arthropoda; Insecta; Diptera; Culicidae.
CUUCAUCGAGUGCGCCAUGAACUCAACCGGAACGCUCGUCAAUGGAGUUCUGGAUCAGCCGAAAAUUGUGCAGCUUAUCACAACUCGCACCGCAGGAGUCAGUUCCGAUUUGACACAGGUUAUGGUCGCUAGUUGUGUCAAAUGUUUUCUGACGCCACUUGUUAUGGGCAAUCAUUCUGGACAUCCGCUUGACAGUAAGCACUGUCGGCCUGCGGCGUCAAUUUUUGUGAGUUGUGUUAACAUGGAGAUGUUCAAGAUGUGCUUACCGGAGUUCUGGACCAACAGCGAUAGCUGCAACAACUUACGAUUACACAUCACCAACUGUCCCAUUCCAGCGUAAAAAAAUCACGGAUGGCGUCUCAUCUCACAAACUUUAUUUCAUAAGAUAGAGUAUAAAAAUAACAUUAGUUGAUUAUGUACACAGUAAAUUGGUUAAGCUCGUAUCUACGCGUAGAAAAUAAUAAACCUAACAAUCCUAAGGAA